UACGUAGGGGGCAAGCGUUAUCCGGAUUUAUUGGGUGUAAAGGGCGUGUAGGCGGGAAAGCAAGUCAGAUGUGAAAACUCAGGGCUCAACCCUGAGCCUGCAUUUGAAACUGUUUUUCUUGAGUGCCGGAGAGGCAGGCGGAAUUCCUAGUGUAGCGGUGAAAUGCGUAGAUAUUAGGAGGAACACCAGUGGCGAAGGCGGCCUGCUGGACGGUGACUGACGCUGAGGCUCGAAAGCGUGGGGAGCAAACAGG
Molecule: ribosomal RNA, 253 nt
Filed under: uncultured Oscillospira sp.
Lineage: Bacteria; Bacillati; Bacillota; Clostridia; Eubacteriales; Oscillospiraceae
Description: partial 16S ribosomal RNA
Rfam family: Bacterial small subunit ribosomal RNA
Source: RNAcentral